RNAcentral lists this ribosomal RNA (253 nucleotides) under uncultured bacterium. Its description in RNAcentral is "partial 16S ribosomal RNA". It matches the Rfam family "Bacterial small subunit ribosomal RNA", at positions 524 to 776 of the family's 1533-position model. The record is from RNAcentral.
UACAGGGGGGGCAAGCGUUGUUCGGAAUUACUGGGCGUAAAGGGUUCGUAGGUGGCUUGCUAAGUCAGACGUGAAAUCCCUCAGCUUAACUGGGGAACUGCGUCUGAUACUGGCGAGCUUGAGUGCAGGAGAGGAACGCGGAAUUCCAGGUGUAGCGGUGAAAUGCGUAGAUAUCUGGAGGAACACCGGUGGCGAAGGCGGCGUUCUGGACAGUUCCUGACGCUGAUGCACGAAAGCCAGGGGAGCAAACGGG